AUUAACCAGAUGUGAACUUAGAGCCUUGAUAAUCUUCAGGGAACUCAUUCAACACAGGGAAGCCUGCUAAUUUAUGAACAAAGCAGUUAUUUACAGACCCCUUCAGCCUCAGGAACAAAAAAGAGGGUAAACGUGAGAUAUUCACACCUACAGGAGUUACCUGGUUUCCCUUCAGGUAAAUGGAGGAAAAUGGCAUCUACCUCACAGAGUUAAUAGGAGAAAUUGUGUAAGACACUGAAGAGUGCCUGGUGUUUGGUCAACAAUGAAAGCUAGUUGGCUCCCUAUCUUGCCCUGGCUCCCCAUACCACCAAGUCCUAUGUUGUUCAAGAAGCCAUCAGGGACUAUGAAGAAGAUAAAGGGGGGAACUUCAGGUAGAAAUGAUCUCAGGGACUUUAAGAGGAAGACACACCUGCAGCUCCAGAUGAACAGAGAUUACUGGAGAAGCUGGGAUAACUACUAGAGAGUUAAACACAGAGGUAUUCUAUUGAAGGACUUUGUCUUCAAAAGUCUCCCAGUCCAGUAAAGAGAGACAUCUACAAUCAAGAAGUCACAAUGCCAAUGGGUGCUUAAGAAGAGGGACCAUGUUUUGAGAAAACUCAGAGAAGGAGCCACCAACUAAUUUCUGGGUGUUUGAGAAGGCCGCACAUUAGAGAUGAUAAUUGAACUGAAUCUGGGAAAAUAAACACUUUUUCCAAAGGCA
This is a long non-coding RNA of Pipistrellus kuhlii (Kuhl's pipistrelle), 700 nucleotides long. RefSeq lists it as uncharacterized. Lineage: Eukaryota; Metazoa; Chordata; Mammalia; Chiroptera; Vespertilionidae. The record is from RefSeq and is a predicted model, not a curated record. The transcript has 5 exons.